UACAGAGGGGGCAAGCGUUAUUCGGAAUUAUUGGGCGUAAAGGGCGCGUAGGCGGCCUGGCAAGUGGAAGGUGAAAUCCCUCGGCUUAACCGAGGAACUGCCCUCCAAACUGCUUGGCUUGAGUCCGGGAGAGGUGAGUGGAAUUCCCAGUGUAGCGGUGAAAUGCGUAGAUAUUGGGAGGAACACCAGUGGCGAAGGCGGCUCACUGGACCGGAACUGACGCUGAGGCGCGAAAGCGAUGGGGAGCAAACGGGG
Molecule: ribosomal RNA, 255 nt
Filed under: uncultured bacterium
Lineage: Bacteria
Description: partial 16S ribosomal RNA
Rfam family: Bacterial small subunit ribosomal RNA
Source: RNAcentral